This is a long non-coding RNA of Antechinus flavipes (yellow-footed antechinus), 750 nucleotides long. RefSeq lists it as uncharacterized. The record is from RefSeq and is a predicted model, not a curated record. The transcript is spliced from 4 exons. NCBI's taxonomy places the organism in Eukaryota, Metazoa, Chordata, Mammalia, Dasyuromorphia, Dasyuridae.
GCCCAACACCCGAAAGUUGGCACCGUUCCGUAGGUACCCAUCCUAACGAAAAUCGUGCUGAGUAUUCAGAAGAUCCAGGAUCAAAUUUGCCUGUGUGUCAUGGACAAGCCAUUUAACCUAACCAGAUGAAGCAGCUGAACUAGAUUUCUCAGGUCUAUUUCCGGCUUAGAAAUAAAACACACACUAAAACCCGCCAACACCAACAAAAACCAAAACCAGGACAAUAAACUGGCUUCUCAACUCCCCUUACCCACAAGCUAGUCCAGGUCGGCUAACUCUGUCCCUGGAGUUGCAGAAUAGCAACGGGAGAGAGAAAUUACACCAGCUCCGCGGGAGUAAAAAAAAAAUCUGAGCUGAAAUCAAAGGACCCAGAUGCGCUCUAUUCUUCCUCAUCAGAAUAAACUCUGCUCAUCUCCUAGUUGGCAGCGGUUUCCACUCAUUCUUGGCCUCCCAUCAGCUAAGGCCCAGACUCACGCCUGCCCGAGCUGUUGCAGGAAGCUGGGAGACAACAGGUGCUUCAAAGUGGACAUGAGGAUGCUGCCAUGCUGAAUCAGAUACCUGGGUGAUGAGCUGCAACAGAAGAAACAACAGCCCAUCGUAGAAUCCAGAACCACCAGGUGGAGUACGACGUAACUGAAAAAAAGAAGGGAAGAAGGUCAGCAUCUUGCUUCCAGACAAUGGGAGAAAGUUGCGCUUCCCUCUGAGAGCACCUUACCUCUGCAGGAGCAGACAGAGCAUGUGCAGCCGCAG